UUUUAUAAGUUGAGGAUGCGUAAAAGCAAAGCAUAACUCCGCCGCACUCCUCUAUCCCAUGAACCUAUAUUAAACCACUCUACCAUAAAUUGAUUUUCCUAAACUCUAUUGCCUCUAAAAUCUAUUUCAACUCACAAACCUAAGGGUCCUCACCAACAUAAGGGUGGUUUAUAAGCAGCCCUGGUGAUGAGCAAAGUAACUUUAUGAACAAUGAAGAAGGUUGAAGGCCAUCCAUGGCCCCCAUCCACAGGCUUUAGAAAAAGUGUUGCUGGUUAGUGUUGACACAUUCUCCUCACCAUCCUAAGGAUGGUUCAUAAGGUAAUGGCUCGUACAACUCAUGUUAUUUGUUACAUGCUGUGAAAUUUUUAUUUGUAUGGCUUGUGCCUAUUUAUGUAUG
Molecule: long non-coding RNA, 397 nt
Organism: Daucus carota subsp. sativus
Lineage: Eukaryota; Viridiplantae; Streptophyta; Magnoliopsida; Apiales; Apiaceae
Exons: 3
Source: RefSeq, a predicted model, not a curated record